Molecule: ribosomal RNA, 69 nt
Filed under: uncultured archaeon
Lineage: Archaea
Description: partial 23S ribosomal RNA
Source: RNAcentral
GGCAAAUUAUACCAUCCGGUGAAUGGCUCGGCUCAAGCGCUGAUGAAGGACGUGCCAAGCUGCGAUAAG